UACGUAGGGUGCAAGCGUUGUCCGGAAUUAUUGGGCGUAAAGAGCUCGUAGGCGGUUUGUCGCGUCGGCUGUGAAAACCUGGGGCUCAACCCCGGGCCUGCAGUCGAUACGGGCAGACUAGAGUGCGGUAGGGGAGACUGGAAUUCCUGGUGUAGCGGUGAAAUGCGCAGAUAUCAGGAGGAACACCAGUGGCGAAGGCGGGUCUCUGGACAGUUCCUGACACUGAGGCACGAAGGCCAGGGGAGCAAACGGG
This 253-nucleotide ribosomal RNA is filed under the name uncultured bacterium. RNAcentral's name for it is "partial 16S ribosomal RNA". It matches the Rfam family "Bacterial small subunit ribosomal RNA", at positions 524 to 776 of the family's 1533-position model. The record is from RNAcentral.